This 636-nucleotide ribosomal RNA is filed under the name Rotylenchulus reniformis. Its description in RNAcentral is "SSU rRNA". It matches the Rfam family "Eukaryotic small subunit ribosomal RNA", at positions 1003 to 1664 of the family's 1831-position model. The record is from RNAcentral. Lineage: Eukaryota; Metazoa; Nematoda; Chromadorea; Rhabditida; Hoplolaimidae.
GGCGAUCAGAUACCGCCCUAGUUCUGACCGUAAACGAUGCCAACUAGCGAUCCGCCAGUCGACUCAUCGCUCUGGUGGGGAGCUUCCCGGAAACGAAAGUCUUCCGGUUCCGGGGGAAGUAUGGUUGCAAAGCUGAAACUUAAAGGAAUUGACGGAAGGGCACCACCAGGAGUGGAGCCUGCGGCUUAAUUUGACUCAACACGGGGAAACUCACCCGGCCCGGACACCGUAAGGAUUGACAGAUUGAUAGCUUUUUCAUGAUUCGGUGGAUGGUGGUGCAUGGCCGUUCUUAGUUCGUGGAGCGAUUUGUCUGGUUUAUUCCGAUAACGAGCGAGACUCUGGCCUACUAAAUAGUUGACGCAUUGCCACUGUGCGCACAACUUCUUAGAGGGAUUUUCGGUGUUUUCAACCGCACGAAAUUGAGCAAUAACAGGUCUGUGAUGCCCUUAGAUGUCCGGGGCUGCACGCGCGCUACACUGGCAAACGCAACGUGCCUGUCCUGCCCCGAAAGGAGCGGGUAAACCCCCGAAAUUUUGCCGUGAUUGGGAUCGGACAUUGCAACUAUUGUCCGUGAACGAGGAAUUCCUUGUAGGGGCGAGUCAUCAACUCGUCCCGAAUACGUCCCUGCCCUUUGUA